UGUGAAGCUGCCCGCCUGCCUGGCCGGUGACCAGGGACGCAUGAGGCCACCUGUCUGCCUGGUGACCAGGGACGUGGGAGGCUGCCCGGCCGGUGACCAGGGACGCGUGAGGCCACCUAUCUGCCUGGUGACCAGGGACGUGGGAGGCCGCCCGCCUGGCUGGUGACCCGGGACGCG
Lynx canadensis (Canada lynx) is the source of this 177-nucleotide long non-coding RNA. RefSeq lists it as uncharacterized. The transcript has 3 exons. The record is from RefSeq and is a predicted model, not a curated record. Lineage: Eukaryota; Metazoa; Chordata; Mammalia; Carnivora; Felidae.